Molecule: long non-coding RNA, 1393 nt
Filed under: Marmota monax (woodchuck)
Lineage: Eukaryota; Metazoa; Chordata; Mammalia; Rodentia; Sciuridae
Source: RNAcentral
GUUGAAACCAAAUAUCACAAAUUCUGCAAGACAUCUCCUGGAGGGCCUCCUGCAGAAGGACAGGACAAAGAGGCUCGGUGCCAAGGACGACUUUAUGGAGAUUAAGAAUCACGUCUUCUUCUCUCUGAUUAACUGGGAUGAUCUCAUUAAUAAGAAGAUAACGCCCCCUUUUAACCCAAAUGUGAGUGGGCCCAGCGACCUGCGGCAUUUCGAUCCUGAGUUUACCGAAGAGCCUGUCCCCAACUCCAUCGGCAGGUCCCCUGACAGCAUCCUCAUCACAGCCAGCGUGAAGGAAGCUGCUGAGGCAUUCCUGGGCUUUUCAUAUGCACCUCCCAUGGACUCUUUCCUCUGAACAGGCUUAGGGGUGGUUUUGAAGGAUUUCAUGUGUGUUUUAAAUGUUUUAGUUAGCCUUUGGGCAGAGCUGCCAGCUGACAGGACAUCUUAAAAGAGAAUUUGCACAUCUCUGGAAGCUUGGCAAUCCUGUUGCACACUGUUUCCUGGAAGCUUUUCAAAGAGCACACUCUCCUCUCAGUGAGCUCAUGAGGUUUUCAUUUUUAUCCUUCCUUCCAACGUGGUGCUAUCUCUGAAAUGAGCAUUAGCGUCCCGCCCUAGACAGAUGCAACGAUCUCCUUAGGAGGAAGAUGCUGAUCUAAGAAGGAUCUUCUGUGGGUCUGUCUGGGCUGUGAUAAGGAAUAUUCUGAAAUGUGCCUUUUCUGCUGAGAUCGUGUUAGCUCCAAAGCUUUUCCUAUCGCAGAGUGUUUCAGUUCUUUAUUUUUCCUUGUGGAUAUACUAUGUGAACAAUGGUAUGAGUGUGGUAUGCCUGAUCACAGAUGGAUUUUGUUAUAAGCAUCAAUGUGACACUUGCAGGACACUACAAUGUGGGACAUUGUUUGUUUCUUCCAUAUUUGGAAGAUAAAUUUUAUGUGUAGACUGUUUUUUUGUAAGAUAUUGUUAAUAACUAAAAUUUAUUGAAAUGGUCUUGCAAUGACUUGCAUCCAGAUGCUUAAAAGAAAGCAUUGCUGCUACAAAUAUUUCUAUUUUUAGAAAGGGUUUUUAUGGACCAAUGCCCCAGUUGUUGAAGCCAUUUGGUGUUUUCAUUGUUUAAAAUGUCACCUGUAAAAUGGGCAUUAUUUAUGUGUUUUUUUUUUUUUGGCAUUCCUGAUAAUUGUAUGUAUUGUAUAAAGAAAGUCUGUACAUUGGGUUAUAACACUAGUAUAUUUAAACUUACAGGCUUAUUUGUAAUGUAAACCACCAUUUUAAUGUACUGUAAUUAACAUGGUUAUAAUAUGUACAAUCCCUUCUUCCUACCACACAACUUUUUUUUGUGUGCAAUGAACCAAUUUUGGUUUGCAAUAAAACCUUGAAAAAUAUUUACAAAAAAAAAAAAUAAAUA